GGUCUCGUGGCCGAGUGGCUUAGGCAUCGGUCUGCAAAACCGAGUACAGCGGUUCGAAUCCGCUCGAGACCUCC
This 74-nucleotide transfer RNA is filed under the name Parvicella tangerina. Its description in RNAcentral is "Cryomorphaceae bacterium CECT 30217 tRNA-Cys". It matches the Rfam family "tRNA". From Rfam's summary of the family: Transfer RNA (tRNA) molecules are approximately 80 nucleotides in length. Lineage: Bacteria; Pseudomonadati; Bacteroidota; Flavobacteriia; Flavobacteriales; Parvicellaceae. The record is from RNAcentral.